Molecule: transfer RNA, 76 nt
Filed under: Lentibacillus sp. JNUCC-1
Lineage: Bacteria; Bacillati; Bacillota; Bacilli; Caryophanales; Bacillaceae
Description: tRNA-Thr
Rfam family: tRNA
About the family: Transfer RNA (tRNA) molecules are approximately 80 nucleotides in length.
Source: RNAcentral
GCUGGUGUAGCUCAGUCGGUAGAGCGAUUCACUCGUAAUGAAUAGGUCGGGGGUUCAAUUCCUCUCACCAGCACUA